ACUGUUGUUGACGGUCUUGAGGUAGCCGCCGGCAUUGGUGUUCUUGGGGUUGUGGACGGACCCGUCGGUGACCUCGCCUUCUUCUGACCAAGAAACUUCCUGGCAACAUGACGCGAUUUAGAUCUUCUUUCUUCUCUUCUUCCAAACUAGAUGACCCGGUUGUGCCAAUGGCACAAGAACCCAGUUAGAAGCGAUGUUAGUAGUGAGUAAGUAGUAUAUGUAGAUGGAAAGAUAAUGCAAUGUAGAUUGUAUGACAAAUAGUAGGAUGACUUAAAUUGAAUUCAGACAAAAAAAAAUGUUUAGAAAAGGAAGUAAGCAAUUGUGGAUAUGAUGGUGGUUACAAUAAUAGUGUUAACUUGGAUUUCAGAAAGUAUUAAUUUCCCUUUUAGGUCUUUUGGGAUAUUGAUGGACGAUCAUACAUAGGGGAAUGUAAAUGGAUUCUUUAUCUAUAUUGGUCAUAGAAGCAGAAAGCUUGUCACCUAAAUAUAAGAAAAUAUUUGCAUUAAACAGCAGGGUUUAGACGCAGCUGGAGAAUAUUACACGGAUCAAACAUAGCAUCAUGGAUUCCAAAUUUAUACAUAUCAGAGACUAGCGCCAAAAGCAGAGAGUGGUGCCAAAAGCAAACAGGUUCUGAGGGUGAAGCUAUACAGACAGAGCUUCAUAGGCUAUUUAGGUAGUUUAGUAGACUGAACAAGAUAACCAAAGAGUCCAGUGCCAAAAGCUUCUUACGGUGACGCUAUACACACAGAACUUCAUAGGCUAAUUAAGUAGUUUAUUAGACUGAACACGAUGCUCAGAGGGCGUGCACGGUGAGACGCAGGUGCUUGUGGUUGCACUUGAAGGCGAAGGCAUAUAUUUCUCUUUCCUUCGUAUUAGCUGCGGGGAAGAAGCCAGCCCAGCCUCUGGUAAUUGUUGCCCUGUUAUCGACUCCUUUGAUUAGACGGGCUUUGAUGUAGGGAUUUCCAUCUCUAGAUUUUAUUGGCAAGUCAUAAAGCUUUGGGUCAAUACAAUGGUGAAGAUAUUUCUUGGUAAAAUUGACUAAGAAAUACUGUAAAUGAAAGGUAACAACACUGAGAAAAGAAAUAUUGGAAAUGAAAGGUAACAACACUAAGAAGAAUUGUAUAUAUAAUUGCAGGUGAUGUGUAUAGGGUCUUGGCAUUCUUUGAGUGGCAAACAUGUGAGCCGCUUCCUGUAUAGCCUCACUUUGUUUCCCCAUCAAUGACCAUCAAAGCUUAGAAAGUAGAUAGUGUCGGGUGCCCCUAUGCAAUGGUAUAUAAAAUGGUUGGUGUAAGCAUAUGCAUUUACUGGUAUUAGUAGAGUAAAUGAAAACAUUGCUUGAUCAUACGGGUUAUGUAGGCCUUGUGUUCAGCCUUCUUCGGUUUUAUAAAUUUAGUUGUAGGUGUUGUAUGAUGAUAAUCAUGAAGAGGGUUUGAAAGAUUAGUAUGAAUAGGAAGGCAAAUGAAAUUCGGAAUAAUGGCAUUACAAUGGUAAUGGUACAUGGUUUUGUACCAUGCGAUGCAUGCUCCUUUUUCUUGUUUUUCUUGGCAUUCAUGCAACGGUGCGAAGGGCCUACAGAGUUAUAAACAGUAAGAGGUUUAAAACCUGAGUAUAAGCAGUGGGUUUUAAAAGUAAAGCUGUCGUGGUGUGCUUACCGGCAUCAUUACUGAUGUUGAUAACAGUUAGUUUGUAGGCUGCGUUGUUAGGCUGAGGAAGCGAUUCGGAAGACCCGCCAUCAACACCACUGUAAAUAACAUUAUAGAUUUUCAGCAAGGAAAUGCCGCAGUUGUUAUUCUGGUUAACUAUGUCCUUUCUUAAUGCUAUGCAAUAGUCCUUGACAUAAAGACAACUCAAAUCAAAAGAAAGCUAGGUAAAUACUUUCAAAGCAUCCAGAUGGUGGGCACAAACAUCAAUACAAAAAGUGAUAUAAAAUAUUAAGAAAUUUUAGGUUCAUUUAUGUUAUUCCAAGCCAAAAUGUCCCAACCAAAGAGUAGUUGUACCAGCAGAAUAAACAUACCAGGUUUUUUUUAGAACAAAGCAGGAAAGCGCCCAUGGCUAGGAAGCCACAAGAACAAACGACCAAACACAGUACCGCUAUUCGUACAGUCGCUAUUGCUACAAUAGAAUGAGAAUUUUUUUCUUAAUGUUCUUUCUCUCGAUGAAAAAACAGGAUGUUUGCAUGCAUUAUAGAAUAAUAUGAAACAAUGAUAAAUUAGUUGUAGCCCAACUCAGCAUAGAGAUUCAUGCAUUAGAGGAUAGUGGGUUUUAGAGAUAUUGUGUAGUUUCCAGACCAGCAGGCAGCUGACCACAAGUCCGGUUGUACUCCUCGGUGAAUCCAGAUCUUGGGCGGGUUGUCAAUGGACGCCCUUGGCAUAUGCCGUUGGUGGCCCCGAUCUCAAAAAGUCCAGUGCAUUCACCUGUGUUUAGAGAGACAUGACACUAUCAAGACAUGACACUAUCAGACAAAUGCAACAAGGGGUAGGAACCAAAGGCAUGCCAGGGAAAGUUCAGUAGACCUCAUGCUGUAACGUCAGCUAAGCGACUUUCUGUUGAUCCUCAAAAAAAAACUAAGCAACUUUCUACUGAGCAACAAAACUAAAAAGUGGUGUUGUAACAACCUGGGUUCUGGUACUGUGGUCGAAAUGAAUCAGCAAGGGUCCAAUCAGAAGCUAAAAUUCUUUAUAGGUUCUGGUACUGACUACAAAAAGAAAAAACUGGAAAUUUUACUUAUGCACAGUAUAAGUGCCUAGCCAUCAAUUUUUUGCAUCAAAUAUCACAGAAUCCUAUAAAUACAUAUAUCAAAAAAAUCUUCUAAUACUCUAGUAACAUAAUCUAAUAAUUAACAUAUUAACUACACUAUUGCUUGAAGGGUCCAAUCAGAAGCUCCUAAUUAUUUUAGUCUGCCUGGCAAUCUCUGUGUUGCAAUCUUCAAGCAUAUUUUAUAACCAACUUAAUUAUUCAUUGAUAAUGAGGAAGAAGAACUACCUGAGCAGCUGAGAGGAGGACUUGUAUACACUAAAAUCCAAUCUUGUCCAGUGAGAGGAUAUUAAGCAUACAUGUCCACUGAACCUACAAUGCCAAUGAUCUGUUGUGAUACGGUCCCUGAAAUUUACGAUGCUAUAUAAAAUAAUUUUGAGUAGUAGGCAACCACACCAUAACUGAAUCUAUCAGCAAGCAAAAGUCACAUUCCAAUUUUGAAGUAAGCAUGCAAUUUCCAAGUUAAAUGCAAACAUACUGUAUGAACCGGAGAGAAUAGAUCUCAAUGGAUUAAAUAAGCAAUAGAUACAAAAUAUGUACCUGAGGCUGAACUUAUUUAGAAACUUAAUAACUAAACUAUAUGUGUGAGCUAGUAAUCUCUCCCAUAUACUGAAAAGGAAAGAUUGCUAGUAAAAGAGUCAACAAGACAACCAAUAUGCCCAAGCUCCAGAGAAAGAAAUAACCCAAAUACACUACCAAAGCAAAGAAAAAGUGACAGGGAAAAGAAAAGAAUGAUCGACCUAAAGAGAUUGUAAGAAAAACAAAAAUAGUCACAAAUCAUUUGUCCUUUCUGAGUUGAAUUACUCCUUCCAAAGCAAAUGGUCAAGCUGGCUGUAGGAAGGAACACCCAAAAACAUGGCAAGAAAAGGGCAUCAGUAAAAAUGAGAAAAAUAUAUCUAUAUGAAUAAUCAUAAGGAGUUGAUGGGAGGGAGAAGCAUACCUAGCAGAAUUUCGCACCGACAUGUUAGGUUUUGUUGAGACGGACACCAAGUCGAGCAUUGGAAUAAAUUGUACACAGACUUGCAAGCACCAUGGAGUACAAUUUCACAACCAAAUCAAAAGUACACAGGUGGAGCACGGUAGGGAAGCAAGGGAAUGGAAGAAGGAGCUCAUAGGGAAGAUGCGACCAUAAAGUGAAGAGGGAGUCCAGCGGUGUAUCCUCAUCUCCUCCCCUGCUGCUCCUCGAUGGUGCGCCCCUCCUACGAUGGCGACCGAAGGAAGUGGCCGGUGGGCAUUGUCGGCAGGGCUGAGCCAUCUUCCUCGCUGGCUCUGUCUUCCCCAUCUUCCUCGGUGUUGACCACUCAGCUAGCUCUAGAGAGAAAUAGAUACAUAAACCGCAAGAAAUAGAUACAGAAACUGCAGCACUUAUCAAUAAAUAUAUGAGUUUAAAAGGGAGCAGUAAGCCCUUUUCUCUCGGUUAAGAGAUCAUGGAGAGAUAAAUAUGAGCUUGCUCGUAAAUAUGCGAUAACAAUUCAAUUGCAUGAAGCCGAGCAAAUCCUUUUUAGGACAUAAAUCUUUGAUUUGGCUAGUACCAAAAUUGGCUAGUAAUUUACCCUUGCCAUCACAAAAAGUACAUGUAGUACCUAACAUGAAAAAGUAAAAAGAGAUGGAAUUAAUCACACCGAUAAAACCACACAUCAAUAAAAAAGAGGGAAUUACAUACAAGAUUAUCCAUGUAAGUCUAGGUGCAUAUGAAGAUUGUACUGAAUAGCAUUUGUACAGAAGAUAUAAAAGAACACCAAAUUACACAUUACUGAAGUGAACAUAGAAACUGGCAGCAAAAUAUAAGAGGAUAAAACUUUGAACAUGUUGAUCGACAAUUCUCUAUAGCUUGCAAAUACACCAAUGAAAGGCAACGUGCAAUUUGAUGAUACAAACCUGGCUAAAGUUAGUAGAGUCAAAGUGCCUAAACCUGAAAGAAAAUAGUGGCACCACAAAAUGCCUCUCAACCACCUGUUGGCUAGAUUUAUUUUAGACGGUGGAGUGUACAACCCCUACAAACUAAAACAAAAAAUAAUAAGCACGAGAAUGGCAAACAAUGCAAAUAAAAAACAGUUCAUUCGGUAGCAACCCACAACGCUAAUGGCUAGUCAAGUGAAAUAUAUAGAUGAAAAUGAUAAAAAAAACAUCCAUAUAUUUAGAUACCAAUAAGGGCAUAUCCAAGCAUUACAUGCAUGACAACCUCAAAUCGAUGGGGUCUGUUUGGUUAGAUCAGAAUGAGCAAAAUGGAAAACAGUUGCAAACAUUCAGCACAAGGGAACAAUGGUGAAGUGACUCACUCUACACUCCAAUCUUGCAUAGCAUCACAGUAAUGCCAGGUCACUCAUGGGAAUUAAAAUAAAUUAAUCACAUCAUGCUACAAAAAAAACAGAAAAGAAAAGUCAAACCCUCUAUCCUAGACCUUCCUCCCUGUGAAUUUCUAAGACACAGGGGCAGCACAAAGGAAGACAUUUUUGCAUAUAAUAUUCAUAAAUGAAGUUUUUACUCAUUAUCCAUUAGUAACAGAGACAGCUUAAUAAUAUGAUUUCUUGGUAGACAAACAAUUACAAGAUGUGACAGUAGUGUGAUGACACAAAUAACAUAUUAAAAUACCAAUAAAUUUAGAAAAAUGGAUGAUGAAUGACUAAAUUUACCAAACCAAAUAAGGUCCAGAUACUACAGGUAAUAACUAAUCACUUGACUAAUUGCAGGUAAUGCAUAAUCGAACUACUGAAAUGGCAUGUACAGGCAGCCACCAAGAUCUGUAAUGCAGUCAUAAACCUGCACAUUAAAAGGCUGAUAUUGUUCUUAUUCAUUACUGCCUCAUACAACAGAUCCGACCAACCUAUAGCUCAGGUGGUGCUCUCCAAGGCGGAGAAAAUGACGACCACCCGACCAGGUUGUGCGCAGCAACGGAAUCCUCUUGCUCGGCCGUGGCGUCGAUUACUGCCGUGUAGUAACACAUCUCUAAGCUGCAGCACAAAAAUCAUUCCUAUUCAGAAGAAAACAGAAGUGCUGACGGGUACGAAAGAAUUUCGUCUGUAGAUACUAAUUAGACCAGGAAGCAACGGAAGUACGAACCAGAGCGCCUGUAGGUACGAAUCCGCAGAGGCUGGCGAACGCGUUGCGCGAGAACCCCGUCCACGCCUCCGGGAAGGAGCCAUUGACGACGUACACGAACUACGUCGCAUUGAUGAGCCACCAGGAGGCGUUGCCGACCAUGGCCGCGCCCAGGAGGCCACGGCCGAGCCUGGCCACGAUGACCCAGUUGAGCAGCGCAUGCACGCCGACCGCUGCGCCUGCAACUCUCACUGCCUCCCAAGAAGGAUGUGCCAGGAUGCGUCGGGAUGGACGCGGAUCAGGACGGGCGGCCUGCGGCGGCGGCGUGCUCCUCCAUUAGGCUGGGAAGCCUUCCUGACCACCCCUGUUGUCGGGUGACCUGCGUGCGAGCGAUUGAAAGGCGAGGAGGAGGAAGAGGCGAGGCGGUGGAGGAGUAGGAGUUGGCGGCCGGGCUCCUAGGGCGGAGAAGGAGGAGGAGGAGGUGGGAGGGAGCGUGGCGGCGGGUGAGGGAGGGAGGAGGAAGGAGCGUGGGGGCUGUGGAUUGGGGAGGGAGAGGGAGGGGCGUGGGGGCUGUGGAUUGGGGUUAGGGUUCACGCGGUUGCCAGCCAAUCAGAAACUGCUCACGCUCCGCCAAUCUUCACGUAACGUACAGAGAAACCCAGCCUCUGGUUGCUGGCCCCCACAGUCUCAGGACCCCACCCGUCAUCCUCUGUUGAAGUGGCCACAGACGUGAAAAAAAUGGACGGUUGGCCAGACGCCAGCUACCAAAAAAAAACACUGUUACCGCCUGAGUAACUCGAUCGCGCGGUCAAAAAACACAGUGCGUGCUCGAUGCCUCCAGAUCGGCGGGUACUUUAGGAGGCUUUAUAUGUUCGAUGAGGUGAGCUGAGCUGAGUGAGGUGGAUGUGGUGUUUGCUUUGCUCCGGUUGGGUUGAGGAAGCCUGCAUCGAUGGGAAUGUAUAUAUAGGAGUAUAAUGGGCUGUUGAGGUGUUCGACCAGUCAGUCUCUUUUGUUUUGUUGGAAGUAGAUAUGCAUAUUCAAUGCAUGCAUUAGUUAUUGAUUGAUGGAUGAAUGGACUAACGGAUGGAUGGAUGCGGUUGGUCAAUGGUCGUGGUCGUCGCCGCGUUGGUCUUCCUUUCUUAUACAUCAGAAUUAGCGUUAGGCUAGUCAUAGUGGGGAGUAACUUAAACUAGCACUAUUAGGAAAAACCUUAUCACAAAAUCUUAACAGCAGCGCGGUUUAAAAACAGACGCUACUGCUAAUUAGCAGUAGCGAGCUUCAGAAUACCGCGCUACUAAUAGCACGGUAGCAGUAGCGGUCUAGGUGAAACAAGCGCUACUACUAUAAUUGCCACGGCGUUGCCCCCAGGCUAGAUAUAGUAGUAGCGCCCUUCCGAAGAUGCGCUACUGCUAACGUACUUAGUAGCAACGUUUUUCUUCAAAACACGCUACUGCUAAGUAUUGCACCUAAUUAAGUUUAGUCCCAUACUGCUAAGCGAACAAGGUGUUUACCACCUUAAAUAUGUUACUUCUCAAACUAUCUCGAGCACUUGGUCUUCAUUGAACUAUAUGUGUAGGAUUUGUGGCUGCCAUAUGAAUCUUCACCAGUGCCUAUAUAGGUACUGUGAGGAUUCAUGUUGACUAUUUAGAUUCUACACAAAAAGAUCAAUGAUGACCAAUGUAUAUUUUUGAAGUUUUUACAUGCUUAGACAUAGCAGUAGCGUUUUUUCAGUGCAAAGCGCUACUGAUAUUAUAAAACAGAAAGGAAUAGCUGUAGCGCAUUUCACUUGACACGCUAUAGCUAACUUAGCUAUAGCACAUUCCAGAAAAACGCGCUACUGCUAGUUUGACUUAACCCCCGGCCGCGCGGGCUUAAAAUUUCGCUAAGUCCUUUGACUCCACUUCCCCCUCUCCCCCAACUGCUCCAUCGCCGCCGUCGCACUGCCGCUCUCGACCUCACCGCCGCCGCCUACCGCCGCCCUCAACCUCACCACCGUCGCCGCCCUCGACGCCGCCCCCGACCCCGACCUCGACGCCGCCCCGACCCCGACAUCGACGGCGCCCUCCGCCGCGUGCCCGAGCCCUGACCCCGUCCUCGACGCCGCCUGCCCCUCCCUUGCCGCAGUCACCAUAAGGCUCUGCCUCUCCUCUCCCCUACCCUCCUUCUCUCUCUGCUAGGGCAAUUCAUAUAUGUGUUGAUGUUCAUAUGAACCCUAGGUGUUCAUAUGAACCCUAGAUUUGUUUAGGGCAGUAGGCAUUUUUUAGCAUUUAAGAAAAAUGCUAAGCAAUUUUUUUAGGAAAUUAGCUAGGGCAAAUGUUUAUGAAAAUGCCUAAAGAGUAAUUUCAUUCAAAAAACAAAAAACAGAAUUGUUUUUCUUUCAAAAACUUGGUUAAACUAAUUGUUGCUAUGUAAACAAAAAACAAGAUUGUUGUUAUAUGAUAUAUGUCAUUGAUGUUCAUUUGCAUAUUCCAUUAUUGAAGUGGUUCGAUUGUGCCCAAGUGGCUUUGUUGUUUCCAGGGAAUGAAGUCGAGUGCCCUAUGUUUUGCCGAAAUGUUGAUUCAUUUCCGUUUCGGCAAAUUUCAGGUUCUCGAUUUGUCCACUUUUUAGUAAAAGUCAUGCCGAAAUUUUCCGUGAAUUUCGGCAUGACUUGUGCUACAAACUAGGACAUAUCGAGUGCCUGGGAUUUGCCGCACCGGGAAGGAGUCAAUAUUCCUGCAAAGCAUAGGCCUUUUUUAUGUCAUUAUUCAUUUUAUUACGUAUAGACUUAAUUGACUAGAUUUAAACGUAAGAACUAGUUGAAUUAAUAGAACUAGUUGAACACGUCACAUUUGUUGUUAUUUUUUUAGUUAAAGCAAUUUUUCCCGCAUCGACGUCGACGAUGCCUAUCCCGCAUCCUCGUCGUCGAGUCGGCGGAGGACACCUGCGUCACCAGAUGGGCCAUGUCCGGGACUGGGCUCCGCCGGGGUGGUACUGGGAGGCGCUACCUACCGGGGGGCACAGGUUGGUGAGGAGCCAGUCUGUCGUUGACCCGAACCUUCUUUGGUGGCGGUCGCGUGGGCCAGUGACGGUCCAGAGGCUUGAGGACCCCGCGGAGGUGGUGCGUCACCAUGUCAGUGAGGAGGACGCGCACGUCCGUCGCUACUUGUUUGCGUUGGAGCACAGGUUCUCCAAUACAUGGCAGGUUCUCCAGGGAUCUCACUAGAGCUAUGAUCUUGUGAUGGUUCCUUCUCUUUGGGUGUCCACCGCCCGCGCCGAUACCCGUCGUGCGCAAGGGUUUUAGUUGUAUUAGUGAUGUUAUAUGUAUGAUACUAUUCGGGAUGUAUUAGUGAUAAUAUUCGAGGAUGUACGGACGCAUGAGAUGAUUUACUUUUGCUUAUUGAAUGCAUGCUAAUUUGAAUACUUAUUUAUUUUACGAUUUGGUUUUGCUUAUUGAAUGCUCAUGUCAAUAUGAGUCCUAUAAGAUGUUUUGAGUAUCCUGGUAGUUGUCUUCGAUUGAUUUUCAAUUAAUGUUUCAACUAUGAACAUAGGAAAUGUCUGACAACGAAAAGGAUUUCGGUAUUUGCAAAUACUGCGAAGACGAGCGCGGCCUGUGCGACAGAAUCUUCCUAGAUGAUGAUAGGCGCUUCAGCAUCAAGCUGGACGUGAACUUCGAAGUGGAUACAGUAAGUCACAACGACAAGUCUUUUUUCGUAAUUAAGCAUGACAUCUGCUUCAUUUGCUUCAACUUAUAAUUUAAUUUUUUUACUAUUCUACUAGCCUAUCCCCUUCCAUGCAAGAGUUUUUGUCUUGGAUAAGGUAGGUUUCAGUCGUACUAUGGAGGUAAAGAAAGUUUACUUGAAUACCGAGCAUGGUUGUAUUUUUCAUGCAAAAUUAUACAACACAGACGACUACACCUAUUUUGGAUGCAAAACUUGGCGAGCACUAUGCAAGACUUAUGCAUUUGAGCCUGAUAUGGUUAUCACCUUUGAUAUUCGUCCGGAAGAUGAUAUUGAAGGUAAUAUCGACAUCUGGGUCGAUGUACAGACGCCUCUAGUUAUACCAUUAUGUGAGUUUCUCAACCAUAUUUAUGUCUUUGAUAUUGUUCAUUCAAAAAUAGUUGACAACUAAUUUUUAUUGUCAGCUUAUUUCCAUUCAAGAAAACAUGUCCAACGCUUGGUAGACAGGACCUACUACUGUCCCCGGGCUGAACUGAACUGCGAGGAGCUAAGUCAUUAUGUUUCAUGCCUUGAGGAUCUUGAUACUGUCAAGACAAAUUUUCUUCCUGCACUUAGAAAUGUUAAUACUGAAAAUGUGCGACCAAUAGUGUUCGUAAUGAACUAUGGUCACAUCUAUUAGGAAAGAUGGUAAGAUAUUUACUAUUUGCCCUCAGUGCAUCUUUUGCAUACAUUAUUUUUUAAGCUAAACUUUAUUGCUAAGUAUGUUACUAUAUGAUGUUCUUCAACAGGGACUCCCGAUGAAUGUUGUGCCUCAUGGGAUCGAGACUAAAGGUACCAUGAGUAUUGUUAGCUUACGGCCAAGAUAUCCUACAAUGCACUUUAGUGCAUUCAGGAUUUCUAAUAGCGAAGAAUGCUUAAUAGUGAAAGACUGGACCAAAUUUGUGAUGGAGGAGUGCAGAGAAGUAGUAGGUGGCAGCAAUCAAGAGCGCAGCCCAUGAUUAGGAGACAGGUUCAUCUGCAUGCUCCAACUUGAUGAAGGAGGAGAGCUACACAUGUUUUAUGUUAUUUUACCUGAGAGAGAGCAGCAGGAGUGAUUAGCUACCUAGAAAUGAGUUUGAAGAUGAUGAUGUGCUACACUAUGACUAUGUUGAUUAAAUAGCUAGUGUUGGUGGUAAUGACUAUGAUGAUUAUUAUUAGCUAGUGUUGGUGGUGAUUAGAUAGCUACCGCAUCUAGUGUUGGUGGUGAUUAGCUAGCUAGCUAGAAUGAGUUUGAAGAUCAUGAUGUGCUACACUAUGACUAUGGUGAUUAAAUAAAUACUGUUGCUGGUAAUGACUAUGAUGAUGAUUAAAUAGCUUGUGCUGGCGGAUUAGAUUCAAAUGGAGGCAACAUGUGGUGCACAUCGAAAGUACUACUAGUCCAAACUAGAUCAAGUUUGGAUUAGUAGUAUACUUUUGACAUGCACCACAUAUUGCCUCCACUCGAACCUAAUCCACCUUCAUUUGACACACUGUUAUGGACAUAAUGAUAUAAACCUCAUAAUUGGUAUUGUAUCAAAAUUUGUAUAACGGCGUAUAAAUACACUAAAAAAAAGAAUACUUGUAGCGAUGGAUAGUAAACACGCUGCAACUAGCUAGAUUAGCAGCAGCGCGGGAGAGAACAAGCGCUGCCGCUAUGUGUCUUAGCAGCAGCGCGUGUCGCACGCGCUACUGCUAAGUAAUAGCUGUAGCAGCCUCAAGUUUUCCCUAGUUGCGUAGUAACAUACAUAUGUUACUACUCCAUGUUACCACCUUCAUAGUGGGAAGUGUCAUAGGUGUAGUAACAUGCAUAUCUUUCUUUGUUGCCUUGUAGACUCAUUUUGUAUUGGGAACUGCUAUGUGAUGGUAACAUAUUAUGUUACUCUAUUUGUCUCUCUCCUCUUUAAUUACAUGACACAUCAUCUUGUUUGCUUAUGUGGCAUCUAUGUUACUACUUAUGUUACUCUCACUAUGUCUAGCCUAAGGUGGAGAUUAGGAAAUAGAAAACUAACAGAAUAAGGAUAAAUUGUAUAAUUACAUACAAAAUUAUAAACAACAUGCAAGAUGUGGAAUCCAUCUGUGUGCCGACUCGGUUGGGGAUUGUGCACACGGCAUGAUUGCUGAAAGUUGGUCUGUUAGUGAUGGUCAAUCAUGGAUGAUAUUUUCUUUGCAGUAAGUGUACCUAUACUGCAUGCAUGCAGUAAUACAAGUGGCAAUCCAUCUUGUCCCUUGUUAACCAGCACUGGCUCGGUCGAAGAGCAUAGGACAUGCCACAACCACACCACUAUACUCGUCAACUAUAUAUUAGUCAAAUUAUACUUGAUUAGGAAGGUAGGCUUAGACCAUGUCAAGAUUCAAGGAAGAAUGUUGCCUUCCUCAACCCUUCCUUUCCUAAUUAAUUUGGUCCUCGAAGUACCAUUGCAUUGCAAUGGCCACAAGUAUUGGAGUAAGUUAAGUAUGUGAAACAUGUGCCAGCUUCUGUCGAUCGGUGAGAUGCUGUAGGUAUUAGAGUCACCGGAGUCUUGCAACUACGUAGUCUAGCUUCUGAUUUGGCACUCUAACUCAGCUGGCCGCAUGACUCUUCCAGUCACCAAACCACCAUCACAAUCGCCACGGUGAUGACAAAUAAUGCCGGCACUAACAGUAAAUGAUAGAAAAGAAACUGGAUGGACACAGGGAACACAACCUACCACACGUCUUCACAACACAAGAGAAAAAAAUUACUUAACGAGAACCAGCACGCUUCUGGCCUACAUACAAACUAGCCAUGUGGACUUCGCGGGCUAGAUCGAGACGAGUUUACAAAUUGACUUCUUGCAACCUAAACUAACCUACUUGACACAAACACACCCAAGUUCAUCAUCGAGUUUACAAAUUGACUUAUUUAACCUAAUCUAAUCUUGACAGAAAUACACUUAACUUCAUCAUGCAGGCCAACAUCGAUGGAGAUCUACGAGCAGUUCGAUGGGCGGCUGCUCUCACUUGUUUUGGGGCUUCUUCUUAGACAGCAGCAUCUGCAUCUUCUUAGAUGUCGUGGGUUUCGUCUUGGUCACCACCUUCUUCUUCUUAGACGAAGCGGACGGUGCCUGCUUCACCUUAGCCUCCGCCUUCUGAGGGAGAUACUUUGUACCUGGCUUUCCCAUGACGCGAUCUGCUUAUCUUCUUCUUUUGGUCGAUGCGGUGUUUCCUUUGCUCCGCUUGGGUUGAGGGAACCUGCAGCAACGGCAGCAUUUAUAUAGGCCGGACAACACGCUUCUCCCAUGGUAAUGGUUUGGUGACAUUGCUGCAACCAGUCAGUCUCUUUGAUUUGGUUUUUUAGAACAAUUGUUAUUGACGGAUUAAUGUGGUUGGGUUAAUGGUCGUGGUCAUUGCCGCGUUGGUCUUUUUUUUUCUCCUCCUCAUUAUACUACUAUUACUACCACAUCAGAAUUAGCUAGCAUUAAACAAAUGAAAUAGCUAGCGUUACUGAUUAAGUUUUAGGUACAUAUGUGUAGUCAUAUGCAUAUGCAUAUCUACGUCAUGAGUUAUAUAGAUCGGUGAUGUACGAAUACGCGCUUUUGCUGUUGUAUCUUGUAUAAGAUUUUCAACUAGUUCUUGAGCUUGGAUUGUCAAAACCAAUUCUAAUCGUAUAUGGUCUACCAUGUAUACAUGGCAUAUAUAUAUAAGGUAUGUACGAUUUUAGUGUUUAGGAUAGCAACUGGGUGGCCUCGCACUCGAGGCAGAGGAAUAAGGAGUUCCUUGACGUCAUGAUCAGGGUGCUGAUUGCGGCUGGGUGCCUUCUGGUGUAGCUUCUUUGACGGUGCUUCGUCGGCUCUGUGGAGCUUUGUACCCCAUUUUUCUUUUCUUUUCCGGCAUAAUUGUGUUGUUGCCCUAGCAGGUCCUUUAUUUUUAUGUUUGACCCUUGAACUUGUUGUACAUACAUCAUGGUCUGCCUUUAUAUAUAAAGCUGGGCGAAAGCCUAUUUCGAGACUCGGUGACCCCGCCUGUCGACUUGUGUGACCAUGAGUGGGACAAGAUACUCGAUUUGCCUAUCUUGUUGAAUGCAAGGUGCUUAGGGGAGGUUCUUAGAGAAAUAAACCAACUUUUCUUUGUGCAUCAAUUCUUGUUUGUAGGGGUAGAUGCUUAAUUAGGCAUCCCUCCUAUAGAGAUAACCGAUGGUUCUUAAACAAGAAACUUAAAGGUUUUUCUUUUGAAUCAGCGGACGUUCAUAUACAUGAAUGUACACUCCUUUAUGAAUUCACACACGCACACUCUAUCCCUUAUGAGCACCUCCAAGAAAUUGAACCAACAGGUCGCGAGAUUGACGAAGUCACGACUUGUGCAUCGCUACCGAUGGGCUCAUCGCUUACAGCAAAAUAAUAAGUCAUUAAACCAUGAAAUAUAUCCGGAAAAGUGCAAACACCCUUCUCAAGUCAAGGACUUGAACCCGGUUGGAUAGCUUCCACCACAAGGAACAUAACAAACUGUGCUAUGCUCAAUUCACCGAAGAGAUAAUGGUUUGCAAUGUAUUAACCCUAUAUGUAUCUCUUUUCUGACUCUUUCUUUUUAUUCAACUUCCCGACAAUAACCUCCCACACGACUCAUAACAGAAAACAAGGAAAAAAAGACUUAACUUGGCCGCAACGUGAACCAGCACGUUUCUGGCCUACAGACAAACUAGCUACGGAUUCUACAGGAGUGAUCGGAUCAAAUCAAGCUUACAAAUUAACUUAUUGUAACUCAAACUGACCUACUCGACAGAAACACACUUAAAGUUCAUCUUGGCCAGUGGACGUCGAUCACCGCAUGUCUGUUGUCACCUUUUUCGAGGCUAAUUCUUCUUAGAUGGCGUCGUCUGUUUCAUCUGCUUCUUCUGAGGCAGGAGCGACGUCCUCCUAGAGGUCACUGUCUUUGUCAACUGUGUGUUGCUUGACGAUGCCUUCGCCUUCUUUGGGGGAACCAUUGCAGCUUGCUCACCCAUGACAAGAUCUGCUUCUCUUCUAAUAAUCCUUCUUCUCCAGUGAGGUAGCUGAGGUGAGGUGGAUAUAGUGUUUACUUUGCUCUGGUUGAGUUGAGGAAGCCUACGGUAAUGCCUCCAUAUAUAUAGGAGGGGGAAGGUCUUUGAGAAAGCGCUCCAGCCGGACGACGCACUUCCACCGUGCGUGAGAAUGGUUUGGUGGCGUUAAUGUUGCCAGUGCCAGUCAGUGUCUUUUGUUUUGUUUUGGGAGUAGAUAUUUACUAGUACUGCCUCUGUUCCUAAAUAUAGGUCUUUCUAGAGAUCUCAACAAGUGACUACAUACGGAGCAAAAUGAGUGAAUCUACAAUCUAAAAUACGUCUAUAUACAUCCGUAUGUGGUAGUUCAUUUUGAAAUCUCUAAAAAGACUUAUAUUUAGAAAUGGAGGGAGUAUAUUCAAUGCAUUGUUCUUCAUGGAUGGGUAUGCAGUUGGGUCAAUGGUUGUGGUCGCUGCCGCGUUGGUCUUCGUUUCUUCUCCUCCGGCUCCUUAUAUUACAACUACAUCAGAAUAAGUGUUGGUGGUUCAGUUUUGGUAGCACACGCCAUACACACACACACUGCUUGUUAGUUGUUAGUCAUAUAUAUUCAUGUGCUGUACGUCCUUCAUCAUUGAUGUAGUAAGUGCACACGAUGUUGCCAUUGUAUGAGAUGUUUUGAUAGAGCUUAAGUUUAGAUUAGUUAAACCGAUUGUUAUCAUGUGCGACAAAUCCUGUAUAUAUGUUUGUAACGUUGUAUAUUAGUUUCCGCAACAAAAACUUUGUAUACUAGUUAGGGGUCGAGUUGAGAAACGGGAGAGAAGAGUUAUUUACCCAGGUUCAGACCUUGCAAGGGAGAAGUUCUCUCUGUUCUAUUCAACGGAAUUCUUCAGUUAUUAUGGCUUGUUGACUAUUUGGUUUCUGGGUGUUUGCCUAAAUUCAUAACUUUUGAUGGCGGGCCAAAAAUAUGUCAAUUUUCUCCCCUCAAAAUGGUUGGGCCCAUACCGACGAUGCGAGAGGUGGUACCAUGUGCCACCAUAUGUCAAGUGUUUGGAAUAAAUGCAUCGCAUUACACAUUAGUUGUAUAGAUGUCCAUCAUACAUUUAAAACAUUAAGAUGAUUUUGAAAAAUGCCUCCUUCUGAAACCCUAACUGCCACGGCUCAAUUAUGCAGGGAUUCUGGAAAGAAUACUAACUACCUACUACGAAGUAGCCAUACCAACUAACUAUUGAUCAUACUAAUCUAUCUAUAUAUACCUAGUGUUGAUUCAGUCGGAAAGCACAAGGCGUGCCGCGCCACUAAAGCGGUCAAACAUUAGUCAAAUUAUAUUUCAUCAGCUGGCAAGUAGCAUUUUUUUAAUUUUUUGCUAACUUUCUAGAGAUUUUUUUUCUUUCAAAGUUCUUUAGUGAAUUUUAUCAAUAUGCUUGAACUCUUUUAAAAUCCAUGAAACUUUUUUCUCAAAACCAUUGAAAUUGUUUCAUGAUUUUGAAAAAAAUCUUAUUGGUUUUGAAAAAUUCAUGGUUUUUGAUAAAAAAAAGUUCACGCAAUUGCUCUGUUUUUCUAUCGAGUUCGUGAACAUUCUUCCCAAUUUCAUGAAAAAUUUCAAAUCCAUGAUCUUUUUCAAACUCGUGAACAGUUUUCAAAUUGACAACUUUUAUCAAAUAAGUAAUAAAAUUUCAAUUUUAUGGACUUUUGGAAAAUCUGCGAAAUUUGUAAAAAUCAUUUUUUUCUCAAUUUAUUGAACUCUUUUCAAUUUCACAAACUUUUUUGAAUUCAUUAAAUAUUAUGAAUACAUGAACCUUUUUAGAAUGGGCGAACUUUUUUCUAAAAUCUGUGUUAUUUAAAAUGUUGAACAGAUUUUUUUUUAAACCAGUUUUUUCCUAAAAAUUUGAAAAAAUUUGAAAAUCUAAGCGAUAAAGCAAAGCAUACAAUAUGUUGUGUAAUAAAUAGCAUGACUACAGUUGUUCUUAACCAAUUCCUGACGCAAUCAGUUGCUAUCGCUAAGUAGCUCUAGUGGUUGGCCAAACAUGUACGUGAGUGUAACGGCUCAAGUACAAUUCCUGGAGGAGGGCCAUCUUUUUCGGGAUUCUUUUUCACGCUAUUAAAUGCAAUAAGGGCGUGUUUGGUUCUAGUUUGGAACAGUAGUCGCAUUGCAUAGCCUUCUCAACCCAGCCUGGUUGAGGAAAAACAGGCCCUAAUAUGCCAUAUGCAACUUGUUUGGUUGCCUGCAUCUCUAGUCCCUGCAUUAGGUAAUACGCAAGUGCACCAACGCCACGACACAACAAUGGUGACGAACUGGGCGAAGAUGAUGAAGUUCUUCAGCUUUAGGCCGAACUGACAAUCCACCUUAGCAGCUUCCACUUUGACAGCUCCAACCUUGGCACUGUCGACACUGCUGCCUCCGUGCUUUCGCAACCAGGCGGAGUAAGCUUGUUCUACUGCCUGACUAGUCUUGAACCCUCUAUAGUUGUUGUUGCUAUACGAUGCCACUUGUGCAUUGGCUUCUUCCCAUGAACUACAAACCCCUGGAACCUCACCGAUGAACAUGGCAUACCACUUGCCCUAGCAAUGCACAAGAGCAAGAGUUGAAGCAGCAAAUCAAUGGAGCACAAGUAGCAAGCAAAGUAGCACACAAACAACAAUGGAGCAAAAGAGAAGUAAAGCAUGCAUGAUCAUACGGCAUAGCAAGUUCAACCUAGCACUACCUUGGUGUUAACCUACCACCACAUCCAAAAGAGGGUGUCGUCCUACCACCGCAAGUUCACCAUUAGCGUGAGGGGUUAGUAUAUACCACCUCAUCAAAAUAUACAGACCAUCAAAUAGUUUUUGAGCCCUAGCUACACGAAAUGUACGUCGUCAUUGUCAUCGUCGUCGUCGUCGCCAUCGCCAAAAUGUGAGCCCUAGCUACACAAAUAGUUGUAGAAUAUUCUACCAAGAUAUUUAGGUAUUUGGAUGCCACUACAUUUUUUUAAUAUUAGAUUAUGUGUCACAACUGAAUUUGUGGUGGAUAUGGUCAGUUAUAUUUCCUUAUAUUUAGGGGGAAAAUUAUAUAUUUGAUUGUUCGAUCCCUCCAAAUCUUGGUACAAUAUUCUACCUAGAAAUAUUAUAAUAAAUAUCAUAAUAUAGUUAGCGCGACAACUUAAUUUAUUAAAGAAUGUGGUGUUUUGAAUUCCCUAAGAGUUAGGGAAAGAUUUUUUUUCAAAUGUCUCAAGAUAAAAUAAUCAUCGAAUAAUGUCUUCACUCUAUAGUUUAACACAAAAGGAGCAUUUGUAAUGAUAAAUCAUUGACAUUCUUUAUAUUUUUGAGAACCACUAUGUUCACAUAUUGGAUAGUGCUUAUCAUUAUCUUAGAAAUAGUUAUUGCCUGCUAUUUUGAGAAACAAAAAAAAUUAAAUUAUAUACUUACAAGAUAUAUUAAUAAGAAAAAUAACAUAUAAUUGUGGUAAAAUAACUAAGUUACUAAAAGUAAAAAAUAAUAAUAUAAAUAAUGCAUAUGUAUAUAUUUCCAACAUCAGACGUGUGUUUCAUGAAGGCAUUCUGCAACAGUCUACAGUAGUGUCGGUAGACGUUAUUAUAUAUCGGCUACUAACUUGCAAGUUCACACACCGAGCUUACAAGAUUAUAACUAGUUCAUUCCUAAUCCAACUCUAUACAGGCAGGGGUAAUGCUACAAUGUAACCAUGCGGCCCGGACAAGCUGAUGGAUGAUCACUGUGCCUUCUUCACCAUUCCGACUAGGGGCCGACCAUCAAGUCCCACAUCAUAUUUGACACCUGCCAAAAACACCUCGACUUCAAAACCACAAACCAUCCAUCGAUCAGAUGCAGAGGCCGGGGGUAUUCCUCCUUUUCUAAAAAAAAUAGACAGUGAGCACUGUAUCAAUACCUAUGGCUUCCUUAUUUCAAUAGAAUAUAGGACAUCCUUGACUGAUGCGAAGACCUUCGGGGACUGCUUGCGGAGCUCCAAUAUCCUCCUUGCUCUCCUCUUUCUGAUUUCCUGCACAUUCACAGCUGAUAAGAAGAAGAAAAAUGCAUCACUUGAGAUCCAGAGCUAGAACGAACCUUCAUGGUCUGUAGUUCCUCCCUGCAAUGCACAUAGAUACAUGUAGUAUUAGAUAAGCAUAAACAGUUCCCAAAUACUCCCUCCGUUUCUAAAUACAAGUCCUUUUAAAGAUUUCACUAUGGACUACAUAAGAAGCAAAAUGACUGAAUCUACACUCCAAAGUAUGUCUACAUACAUCCGUAUAUAUGUAGUUCAUAGUGGAAUGUCUAAAAAAGACUUAUAUUUACGAACGGAGGGAUUUAUAUAUGUAGAUCACGGAGCCGUCAAAUGACAUUGUNNNNNNNNNNNNNNNNNNNNNNNNNNNNNNNNNNNNNNNNNNNNNNNNNNNNNNNNNNNNNNNNNNNNNNNNNNNNNNNNNNNNNNNNNNNNNNNNNNNNNNNNNNNNNNNNNNNNNNNNNNNNNNNNNNNNNNNNNNNNNNNNNNNNNNNNNNNNNNNNNNNNNNNNNNNNNNNNNNNNNNNNNNNNNNNNNNNNNNNNNNNNNNNNNNNNNNNNNNNNNNNNNNNNNNNNNNNNNNNNNNNNNNNNNNNNNNNNNNNNNNNNNNNNNNNNNNNNNNNNNNNNNNNNNNNNNNNNNNAUAUGGCAUCUGCUGCCAAUUCAUCAUUCAUCAUGUAUAAUUGUAUAUCGCAAUAUAUACGGAGUAAAAUACAUGUUAACUUGGUUAACCGGCUUGUCCGCUUUAUUUGGUUUGGUCAUUGUAUUAUUCAGUAAAGUGCAAAAAUGCGGCCACUAGUUUAUUUUCCUGUACAUAUAGUAUCUAUCUUGAGUCGACGUGGCUGCAGGGCCCACCUGCCAGCCAGCUGUCGAAACCAUUGUCCAUCUUUGUUGUGCCCAUUGUUCGUUUGCUCUUUCCGAGACUAUGUUCAUUGCCUCUAUUAUGCCUGAUGCUGAAGAAGAAAACUUUGAAGAAUCAUCAUGGUUGUAACUAUCCAUGGAAAGACUUUUCCUACACAGUAGAAACAAAACGUCUUGUGUUUGCUAGUUAAAAACUCUGCUCUGCGGAUGCAACGCCCAUUCAGAAAAUGUCGGAAGUUCUAAUUUUGCUAAACUUAAUGUGAUGAUGGCAUCAGAAAACUGCUGGCAUUUCCAUUUUCUAGUACAACAGUGGUUCUGUAUUGGGUUCAGUUCAGUUCAGAGUGUGUCAAACAGAACAAAAUCCAACCCUGCAUUGACAGCAAUGUGCAUGCAGAGUCGCAGAAUCUGCACCGCAGCGGUAACAAAGUUGAGCAACCGGCCGUACAUACAAGUCAGAUCCAUCAAACUAUCCACAAAGGUUAAUCAACAACACCAAACAUGCCAAGUUAUCAUCUAACCCAAUCCCGAAUUUUGAACUAGCACUGCAAAUCAGGUAGUACUAAACCCAAGCCUGUCGAGUUUGGGUGCUACAACGAAUGAUGCUGUACUCUGAAACAAUGGACUUCAUCGAAGUCCGAGGUUAUAUGUUAUGCUUGUUCUUGAAUGACUUCCUGGACCUCCAUCAUUGUCAGCUUCUUUCUGCGACCGGAGACUGGAGUGGCUGAGCUUCGCUGAGAUAGUAGCCGACCUCUUUGUGUGGCUGUCACUUCUUUUGGACUUGUAAUCUGUGCUUAUGGGUUUUUUCCCUGAGGUAGAUGUUCAGACCAAUUUCUUAAAAAAAUGUGGAUGUUCCGACAUCGGGGCAUUAGCAGCUGGUUUUCCAUAAGCGCUCAGACUCGCUUCACUCUUUGCCCCCGUCCCCUGCUAUGCUUGUAAGAACAUGCUAUUUUUGUGUGAAUGGAAAGGGGGUAAUCCAGUUCGAGAUGGUCACAACUGUCAAGGUUAACCAUUUUCUUUAUAGAGGAGACAGACUGAAUGGUUGUUUCUGCCAUACUCGCCCACAAAAUAUUUUGUUUAAGGGCCUUUUUUGGUUCACAUGAUUCAAUAAACACAGGAACAAGAAGAAAAACACAAGAACUUACUAGAUUGAGCCAAAAAAUCCUAUGGAAUGGUACUGUAAGAAAGCACACAAAUUCAGAGAAUAAAAACUAAUACAAAUCUGUUGGACACUAGUCACAUCAUACAACUACGCACAAGCCAAUCUAGCGCACUACAAGCACAUAUACGUGCAGAUUAUUGGUGAAAGAAAACAAAGAGCUGCAGCUUAUAUAGUGUGAAGCAUAUAAGUGUCAUAAAUACAGCCAGGUACACUUCAUUUUGUUCACAACAAUCCGCUGCAUGGUGUCGAUGCAAUUGAAGAAUGCAAACCGCCAGAUCUUGCAGAAGAACAAUGCUCCAAACCAUACCCAGAAACCGAAGACAGUUCCAGCAAUCACCGAGUAGUACGACCACACCGUUUCAUGUUCAUGGUCGCCAUCAACUGGUGUUGUACUACUCGAAUUGUUUGUGGAUGGAAUGCUCAAUGGAGGGCCACAAAGUCCAAGGUUAUUUCCGUAGAUCAAUGGGUCCGCAAGUGUUUGGAGCUGACUGCUUGUAGGUAUCUCUCCAGACAGAGGUUGUUGGAGAGGUUGAGAGUGGUGGGGGACGUCAGGUUUGAGACACUAGGAGGAAUAGGACCGGAUAGUUUGUUCGAAGAGAGGUCAAGGGAUUCUAAUAAAUUUAGAUUGCCAAUAUCCAUGGGGAUACUACCAGACAGAUUAUUUCUUGAAAUAUUUAGUAACUGCAUGCCCCUGAGACUUGUCAGCUCUGAAGGGAUUUCACCGGAUAGAGAAUUACCAGAGAGAUCAAUACCAGUCACAAAUGCAUGUCUUCCCUCAAAAGCGUACUACCGCCCCUUCCAAAUUAUGUCCAUGCUGCCAUUGUAAAAAUAAAAAUAUCUAUAGGUGGUAAGUACUAUGACAUUUGUUACAACUGGUUGCAUCACAAAAGUCUGUCUCAUCAAGGAGAAGUUGACCAAACUUUCUGGUAUGGAACCUAUAAAAUUACGGUCUGUCUAGGUCUCAGUCGACUGCUCAGUCGGCUGACAUCAUCACAUGUAGAUAAGGCCUAGUAACUAGCUCCCUUUCUCAUAGGUUGAAUCCAGCUUAGCACCUGGGCUUAUUUUCUUUUUCCCUUAUUUGUUUGUUUGUUACUUUUGGGUUGGGCUGAUCACUUUGUUUGUUGUGAUUCGGCUGGGUCAUGAAGUUUUUAUUUGUGGGCCCGGACUACAUAGAAAAAGACAAAAAAAAACCUGUUUCCUACUCUGCUUUAUGAACUAUAUAUACUUUUUGACUGGUGGUGAUGAACAGACGCUGUCAAGCAAACAAACAAAAAAUGUGAGGCUCUUAACAAAAAAUAAGUGCUCUACUUCAAAACCAGUUUAAAGUUGUUUCACAAAAGAGCAAAAAGCAUAUCCACCAGUGAUGAAAAAUUUCAUAUACAAAAAAACAUGCAUAAAUUAACUCUGUUUUACAGAAAAAGCAGCAGUUUCAUCAUCUCUGUUUUCAAGUAUUCAUAUACAAAAAACAUAAAAAAAAAACACCUCACUAAAACCAACCUGAGUGAAAUCAAACACAGCCUUGUUCAACUGUAUGCAUCAGUUAACUCAAAACAUUGAAAAAAUAGCAGCAGUGGCAUCCUCAUGCCACCAAAAACAUACAUACAACAGGGAAUGGGUCGGGGCACCAUAUAUGUUUCAAAAGCUGGCAUUAGCAAUUCCGUAGCUACAUCAUAUGUACGUGGACGCAUAAACUAACAGGUGCAGAUCACUUGCACGGUAGUACUACAGGAGGACUGACUACUUACAAGCAUGUUGCUUAAGAUAUCCACUGAGAGUGAACUUGGAUACUUGUAAAUUCACAAACACAGAAUGUCUACUGAUAGUGAAUCGAAUUAGACUGACGCUCUCAUCAAGCACAGAAAAUUCAGAUGUACUCCUACCAAAAAAAAAAUGUGCAGAUUCCAAACAAACUUAAGAUCAAAAUAUUGAAUGAGAAUGGGUCCCGGGUGCAGAUUCCAUCCAGCUUACCUAAUCAGCAGGGCGCAAGGAGUCUGGAGGGGCGACGGGAUCGCCGAGCAUCUCGUUGCAGGCGUCGCCGAGCAUCUCGUUGCAGGCUUCGCCGAGCAUCUCGUCGCCGGUGAAUUCCGUCACGGAAACCUUCGAUGUGCCCGCCCCCGUGAUGCAGCUUCCUUCCUCUCCCAUUUCCUCUCUCUGUCUAUGCUCGUCUCUCAAUUCAAACAGUGUCGUUGGGUGGCCUCGAGAAAGAUGUUGAGCCUGGGUCCACAUCCCAAAGACAAGGAAAAUAAAAAAACAGCAUCACACCGUCUAUAGUCACUCCCUUCCUUCACAACAACAUUAAAAAUGUGUCCAAGGAUCUGGACAAGUAACUCUUCUCUCCUUUAAUAUGCUUCUUCUAUUUUGAGAAAAUGAUCUCCUGUCAGAAUCAGAUACAAAACAACAAAUUAAUUUUCUUCUUAAUCCUUGGGAAAACAAAAAAAAUGCAAAAAUAAAUAAGGAAAAAAUUGUAGUCCCUCCGUAAACUAAUAUAAAAGCGUUUAGAUUACUACUUUAGUGAUCUAAAUGUUCUUAUAUUAGUUUAUGGAGGGAGUAUAUGAUUUUAAAAAAAAGAUAAAACUCAAACUAGUUGUGAGGUCGGGUGCUUGAUUUGUGUUUGCGGGCAUGGCAGAAAACGGGGGUGUUAUGGUGCUCGUGUGACACAUAGCGAGGAUAGAGGAUUUACGGAGAAGGUGCCCCCUUCCGACCAGGCAAAAAAGUCUAGUUGCAAAUUUUUUUGUAAAAAGACAUGUAGUUAUAGUCUGGGGGACAGCGCUUGGAAUUGCAUGCACGCUUCUGCUGUUGUAUCCUGUAUAUAUAUAGAUCGAGGUGAUGUCCGCAUACAUGCAUAUCUCAAUCGUAUAUGGUCGAUCAUGUAUACAUGGCAUGUAUAUAAGGUAUGUACGAUUUGAGUGUUUAGGACAGCAACUAGGUGUGUCUUGACGCCAUGAGCAGGGCGCUGAUUGCGGCUGGGUGUCUUCUCGCGUAGCUUCUUUGAUGGUGCUACGUCGGCUCUGUGGGGCUUUGUACUCCAUUUUUCUUUUCUUUUCGGGCAUAAUUGUGAAGUUCCCUAGCAGGCCCUUUAUUUUUAUGUUUGACCCGUGAACUUGUUGUGUAGACGUGAUGGUUUGCCUUCAUAUAUAAAGCUGGGUGAAAGCCUAUUUUGAGACUUGGUGACCCCGCCUAACAACUUGUGUGACGAUAAGUAGGACACGAUACUCGAUUUGCCUAUCUUAGGACUUGUUGAAUGCAAGGUGCUUAGGGGAGGUUCUUAGAGAAAUAAACCAACUUUUCUUCAUGCAUCAAUGCUUAUUUGUAGAGGGUAGAUAUUUAAUUAGGCACCCUUCUUAUAGAGAUAACCGAUGGUGCUUAAACAAGAAACUUAAAGGUUUUUCUUUAAUCAGUGGACGUUCACAUACAUUAAUGUACACUCCCCUAUGAAUGCACACACGCACACUAUCCCUUAUGAGCAUCUCUGAGAAACUGAAUCAACGGGUCGUGAGAUUGACGAAGUCACACCAUGUGCAUCGCUAUCGAUGGGCUCAUCGCUUACACCCAAAGAAUAAGUCAUUAUACCCUGAAAUAUAUCUGGAGAAGUGCAAACACCCUUCUCAAGUCAAGGACUUGAACCCGGUUGCUUCCACCACAAGGAACAUAACAAACUGUGCUACGCUCAAUUCACCAAAGAAAUAAUGGUUUGCGAUGUAUUAACCCUAUAUGUGUCUCUUUUCCGACUCUUUAUUUUUAUUCAACUUCCAGAUGAUAACCUCCCACAUGACUCAUAACACAAAACAAGGAAAAAAAAGGACUUGACUUGGCCGCAACGUGAACCAGCACGGUUCUGGCCUACAUAUAAACUAGCUACAGAUUCUACAGGAGUGAUCGGAUCGAAUCAAAUUUACAAAUUAACUUACUGUAACGCAAACUGAUCUACUCGACAUAAACACACAUAACUUCAUCCUGGCCAGAGGACGUCGAUCACCGCGCGGCUGUUGUCACCUUUUUCGAGGCUAAUUCUUCUUAGACGGUGUCGUCUGUUUCAUCUGCUUCUUCUGAGGCAGGAGCGACUUCCUACUAGAGGCUGCUGUCUUGGUCAACUGCGUAUUGCUUGACGAUGCCUUCGCCUUCUUUGGGGGAACCUUUGCAGCUUGCUCGCCCAUGACAAGAUCUGCUUCUCUUCCAAUAAUUCUUCUUCUACGGUGAGGUAGCUGAGGUGAGGUGGAUAGUGUUUACUUUGCUCCGGUUGGGUUGAGGAAGCCUGCGGUAAUGGCUCCAUAUAUAUAGGAGGGGGAAGGUCUUUGAGAAAGCGCUCCGACCGGACGACGCGCUUCCACCGUGCGUGAGAAUGGUUUGGUGGCGUUAAUGUUGCCAGUGCCGGUCAGUCUCUUUUGUUUUGUUUUGGGAGUAGAUAUUUACUAUAUUCAAUGCAUUGUUCUUCAUGGAUGGGUAUGCGGUUGGGUCAAUGGUUGUGGUCGCUGCCGCGUUGGUCUUCGUUUCUCCUCCUGCUCCUUAUAUUACUACUAACAUGAGAAUACGUGUUGGUGGUGCAGUUUUGGUAGCACACGCCAUACACUCACACUGCUUGUUAGUUGUUAGUCAUAUAUAUGCAUGUACUGUACGUCAAUCAUCAUUGAUGUAGUAAGUACAUACGAUGUUGCCAUUGCAGGACAUGUUUUGGUAGAGCUUGAGUUUAGAUUAGCUAAACCGAUUGUUAUGAAUUUAUCAUGUGCUACAAAUCUUGUAUAUAUGUUUGUAACUUUGUAUAUUAGUUAGGUGUCGAGUUGAGAAACGGGAGACAAGAGAGUUAUUUCUCGAUGUUCAGACCUAGUGAGGGAGAAGUUUUCUCUAUUCUUUUCAACGGAAUUCUUCAGUUAUUAUGGCUUGCUCACUAUUUGGUUUUUGGGUGUUUGCCUAAAUUCGAAACUUUUGAUGGCGGGCAAAAAAUAUGUCAACCUUUUCCCCUCAACAUGGUUGGACCAAUACUGAGGUGCGGGAGACAAGAGGUGGUACCAUAUGCCAGCGUAUGUCAAGUGUUUGAAACAAAUGCAUCACAUUACAUAUUAGACGUAUAGAUGUUCAUCAUACAUUUAAAAUAUUAAGAUGCUUUUGAAAAAUCUCUCCUUCUGAAAUCCUAACUGCCAUGACUCAAUUAUGCAGGGAUUCUUGAAAGCAUACUAACUACCUACUACAAAGUAGCCAUACGAACUAACUAUUGAUCAUACUAAUCUAUCCAUAUAUACCUAGUGUUGAUUCAGUCGGAAAGCAUGAGGCAUGCCGCGCCACUAAAGCCAUCAAACAUUAGUCAAAUUAUAUUUCAUCAGCUGGCCAGUAGGCAAAGAUCAUGUCAAGGUUCAAAAAUGAAUAGGAGUCGGCCGGCCUUCACAUCGCACGCACAAGCUGCCUAGCUUGGCCGACCUUCUCUUCUUUAUUUAAUUUACUCCUCCUGCUACCACUGCAUCUCGUUAACCACUAAUAUUUGAGCAAGUUAAGUAAGUUAAUACCACUGCAUAAGAACACCGCUCAACCCCUCUCUAGAGUCUUGCCGCUGCUCAAUUGCUACCUCCCUACCUUGAGCCGUUCCACUUAUUUUCCAUGGGGGUAAUGCUAGCUGUAAUUGGUUGCUGAUAUGGCAGUAAGACAACUCUGAACUCCACCACUGGACUUCUCCAGUCUUAGAUCGCUUCUAACGAAUUUCGCAAGAAACUGGGACGAACACACACAAGCCAGAUGUAGUUCAUUAAUCAUGUAUACUUCUUUUCUGAUUCAUUUCUUUUAUUUGUUCAUCCGACAACAUGACUCGAUAACACCAGGAAAAACAUAAAUAGCCGCAACAUGAACUGGCACACUUAAAAAAAAUUGUUGGAAAAACUUCCAUUCUAUUCAUCAAUAUCAUUAUAGUACAAAGUACAACACAGGUAAUAUAAAUUCCAUCCAAGUCCAUAGACCAUCUAUUCAUCAAUUGGAACACACUGGCUUACAUGUCACGGGCUCGAACCAAUCGAGUUUAUAAAUGUAUUAACUUACUGUAAUAUAACUGAACUCGUCUCAACACACUUAACUUCAUCGAAGAUGGACGCCGUAGAUGGAUGGAGAUCAUCGGCGUGUGCUAGAAGCGGUUGGACGUGUGGGAGCGGCACGACUACGACUUGUCGUCGCAGACAAGGGCGGGGCCGUCGUCCUAGCCGUUCUUGAGGUCGAUGCACCCGGACGCAACGUCGUUGGCUGGUUUGAGGCCACUGUUGCUCUAGUUGACGUUCGUGAGGUCCCAGACGGAGCAGCUCUUGUUGACAUUCUCGAGGUCACAAGAGGAGCCACCGUCGCUGAUGCUGUUGACGUUCUUGAGCUCGUGUAUGAAUUUGCCGUUGUUGACGUUCUUGAGAUCGCAUGCGGAUUUGAGGUUGUCGUUGUUGAGGUCGCAUACCGAUUCGCCGUUGUUGAAGUUCUUGAGCUCGCACGCGGAUUUGCCGUUGCCGGCGUUCUUGAGGUAGCGGGUUGAGCCGACGUUGCUGAUAUUCUUGAGCCCGCGGGCUGAGCUGCCAUUGCUGACGUUCUUGAUGCAGUGGAGGAAGCCACCCUUGCUGAAGAUCUUGAGGCCACAGGUGUAGCCACCCUUGGUAACGUUGUUGAGGCCACCGGCGGAGCCACUGUUGUUGACGGUCUUGAGGUAGUCGCCGGUGUUGGUGUUCUUGGGGUUGUGGGCGCACCCGCCGGUGACCUCGCCUUCUUCUGACCGAGAAACUUUGCUGGAAACAUGACACAAUUUUGUUUUGCUUCCUUUUCUUCUUCGAGAUCAGGUGAGGUAAGGUGUAUGUGGUGGUUGCUUUGCUCCGGUUGGGUUGAGGGAGCCUGCAUCGAUGGCAAUGUAUAUAUAUAGGAGCAUAAUGCGUUGUUG
This 27331-nucleotide long non-coding RNA is filed under the name Triticum aestivum (bread wheat). RNAcentral describes it as "long non-coding RNA (TAES_LNC018644)". Lineage: Eukaryota; Viridiplantae; Streptophyta; Magnoliopsida; Poales; Poaceae. The record is from RNAcentral.